This 251-nucleotide ribosomal RNA is filed under the name uncultured prokaryote. RNAcentral describes it as "partial 16S rRNA". It matches the Rfam family "Bacterial small subunit ribosomal RNA", at positions 525 to 775 of the family's 1533-position model. The record is from RNAcentral.
ACGUAGGGAGCAAGCGUUGUACGGAAUUAAUGGGCGUAAAGGGAGCGUAGGCGGGUAUUUAAGUCAGAUGUGAAAGCUCCGGGCUCAACUUGGAGAGUGCAUUUGAAACUGGAUAUCUUGAGGGCAGGAGAGGAAAGUGGAAUUCCUAGUGUAGCGGUGGAAUGCGUAGAUAUUAGGAGGAACACCAGUGGCGAAGGCGACUUUCUGGACUGUACCUGACGCUGAGGCGCGAAAGCAUUGGGAGCGAACAG